Molecule: ribosomal RNA, 305 nt
Filed under: uncultured bacterium
Lineage: Bacteria
Description: bacterial SSU rRNA
Rfam family: Bacterial small subunit ribosomal RNA
Source: RNAcentral
GUACCUACGGGGCGCAGCAGUGGGGAAUAUUGCACAAUGGGGGGAACCCUGAUGCAGCGACGCCGCGUGAAGGAAGAAGUAUUUCGGUAUGUAAACUUCUAUCAGCAGGGAAGAAAAAAGACUGUACCUGAGAAGAAAGCUCCGGCUAACUACGUGCCAGCAGCCGCGGUAAUACGUAGGGAGCAAGCGUUAUCCGGAAUUAUUGGGUGUAAAGGGUGCGUAGACGGGAUAACAAGUUGGUUGUGAAACCCCUCGGCUCAACUGAGGAACUGCAACCAAAACUAUUAUUCUUGAGUGCAGGAGAG